This 508-nucleotide long non-coding RNA is filed under the name Equus caballus (horse). RNAcentral describes it as "lncRNA (ENSECAG00000054762.1)". The record is from RNAcentral. Lineage: Eukaryota; Metazoa; Chordata; Mammalia; Perissodactyla; Equidae.
GCACUUGGCAAGUCGUGCUGUGGCAGGCAUCCCACACAGAAAGUAGAGGAAGAUGGGCACAGAUUUUACCUCAGAGCCAGUCGUCCUCAGCAAAAAGAGGAGAAUUGCUGGCAUAUUCUGAAAGACUGCACCGUCUUUGGAGAGUUGGGAUGGAAGCACAGCUGUCCUUUCCUCGACACAUUCCGUUCAGGUGGCCGUGGUUUUCCCAGGGGGUACUCGAGGCCACCGAAUGACGCAAGGAAGAUUAGCCCUGAGCUAACUGCUGAGGAAGACUGGCCCUGAGCUAACAUCUGUGCCCAUCUUCCUCUACUUUACAUGUGGGACGCCUACCACAGCAUGGCUUGCUAAGCGGUGCCAUGUCCGCACCCGGGAUCUGAACCGCAAACCCCGGGCUGCUGAAGCGGAAUGUGUGCACCUAACUGCUGCGCCACCAGGCCGGCCCCUGAUGAGGACUUCUAAGAUCUAUUCUCUUAGCAACUCUUAAAUAUUCAAUAAAGUAUUAUUAACU